RNAcentral lists this ribosomal RNA (928 nucleotides) under uncultured Bacteroidales bacterium. RNAcentral's name for it is "bacterial SSU rRNA". It matches the Rfam family "Bacterial small subunit ribosomal RNA", at positions 43 to 967 of the family's 1533-position model. The record is from RNAcentral. Lineage: Bacteria; Pseudomonadati; Bacteroidota; Bacteroidia; Bacteroidales.
CAGGCCUAACACAUGCAAGUCGAGGGGCAGCGGGAUGUAGCAAUACAUUGCCGGCGACCGGCGCAAGGGUGCGUAACGCGUGAGCAACAUGCCCGUCACAGGAGGAUAAACCAUGGAAACGUGGCCUAAUACUCCAUAGUAUCAUAAGGAGGCAUCUCUUAAUGAUUAAAGCUUUGGUGGUGACGGAUUGGCUCGCGUGACAUUAGCUAGAUGGAGAGGUAACGGCUCACCAUGGCGACGAUGUCUAGGGGAACUGAGAGGUUUAUCCCCCACACUGGUACUGAGACACGGACCAGACUCCUACGGGAGGCAGCAGUGAGGAAUAUUGGACAAUGGAUGGAAAUCUGAUCCAGCCAUGCCGCGUGCAGGAUGACGGCCCUAUGGGUCUUAAACUGCUUUUGUAUGGGAGCAAUAAGUUCUACGUGUAGGAUGAUGAGAGUACCAUACGAAUAAGCAUCGGCUAACUCCGUGCCAGCAGCCGCGGUAAUACGGAGGAUGCAAGCGUUAUCCGGAUUUAUUGGGUUUAAAGGGUGCGUAGGCGGUAUUGUAAGUCAGUGGUGAAAUCUUGGGGCUCAACCUCAAACGUGCCAUUGAUACUGCAGUACUGGAAUGGGGAUGCCGUUUGCGGAAUGUGUGGUGUAGCGGUGAAAUGCAUAGAUAUCACACAGAACACCGAUUGCGAAGGCAGCAGACGAAUCCUUGAUUGACGCUGAGGCACGAAAGUGUGGGGAUCAAACAGGAUUAGAUACCCUGGUAGUCCACACAGUAAACGAUGAUGACUCGCUGUCGGCGAUACAAUGUCGGUGGUCAAGAGAAAUCGAUAAGUCAUCCACCUGGGGAGUACGACCGCAAGGUUGAAACUCAAAGGAAUUGACGGGGGCCCGCACAAGCGGAGGAACAUGUGGUUUAAUUCGAUGAUACGCGAGGA